UGGGGAAUAUUGGACAAUGGGGGGAACCCUGAUCCAGCCAUGCCGCGUGUGUGAAGAAGGCCUUAUGGUUGUAAAGCACUUUAAGCGAGGAGGAGGGUACUGGUAUUAAUACUACCAGGUACUGGACGUUACUCGCAGAAUAAGCACCGGCUAACUCUGUGCCAGCAGCCGCGGUAAUACAGAGGGUGCGAGCGUUAAUCGGAUUUACUGGGCGUAAAGCGUGCGUAGGCGGCUAAUUGAGUCGGAUGUGAAAUCCCCGAGCUUAACUUGGGAAUUGCAUUCGAUACUGGUUAGCUAGAGUGUGGGAGAGGAUGGUAGAAUUCCAGGUGUAGCGGUGAAAUGCGUAGAGAUCUGGAGGAAUACCGAUGGCGAAGGCAGACAUCUGGCCUAACACUGACGCUGAGGUACGAAAGCAUGGGGAGCAAACAGG
This 430-nucleotide ribosomal RNA is filed under the name Pseudomonadota bacterium. Its description in RNAcentral is "Proteobacteria bacterium partial 16S ribosomal RNA". It matches the Rfam family "Bacterial small subunit ribosomal RNA", at positions 355 to 776 of the family's 1533-position model. The record is from RNAcentral. Lineage: Bacteria; Pseudomonadati; Pseudomonadota.